This 426-nucleotide ribosomal RNA is filed under the name uncultured bacterium. Its description in RNAcentral is "partial 16S ribosomal RNA". It matches the Rfam family "Bacterial small subunit ribosomal RNA", at positions 354 to 796 of the family's 1533-position model. The record is from RNAcentral.
GUGAGGAAUUUUCCGCAAUGGGCGAAAGCCUGACGGAGCAAUGCCGCGUGAAGGAUGAAGGCCUAUGGGUUGUAAACUUCUUUUCUCAGAAAAGAAUUAUGACGGUAUCUGAGGAAUAAGCAUCGGCUAACUCUGUGCCAGCAGCCGCGGUAAGACAGAGGAUGCAAGCGUUAUCCGGAAUGAUUGGGCGUAAAGCGUCUGUAGGUUGUUUAAAAAGUAUUCUGUCAAAGAUUAGGGCUUAACCCUAGAUAGGCAGAAUAAACUUUUAAGCUAGAGUUUUGUAGAGGCAGAGGGAAUUCCCGGUGGAGCGGUGAAAUGCGUAGAGAUCGGGAGGAACACCAAAGGCGAAGGCACUCUGCUGGCCCAAUACUAACACUGAGAGACGAAAGCGAGGGGAGCAAAUGGGAUUAGAAACCCCGGUAGUCC